AGUUGGUUUAUGGCCUGGUUCACAACCUGUGGAUAUGCGCAACACACACGUCGACAUUGAUUUGAUGCGUGGUUGAUAAUUUCUGUUGAUUGUUUCAUGGGCAAUGUAUAUAUUCCGCUGUUUUCAGCACCACUUAAUCUCAUCUCCUGAAGUCCAGUGAUGAGGAUUGAAGUCGGCUGAUUCUGGGCGUGAAUUUCUCACUUCAUUUAACCUUGACAGACUAUGGGUUGUACUCAUUUUGCAGCUUAAUGACAAUUAGUUUGGAAUUUUAGUGCCUGUGAAUUUAACUCAUCAAUUUUUCAGAG
Molecule: unclassified non-coding RNA, 305 nt
Filed under: Hevea brasiliensis (rubber tree)
Lineage: Eukaryota; Viridiplantae; Streptophyta; Magnoliopsida; Malpighiales; Euphorbiaceae
Source: RNAcentral